AGUAACCUCAGGGAACAAUAAUGAUUUUUAUCUCAGUGUGUUAAGAUAUUAUUGUAAUGUUGAUUAGCUAAAGCUAAUUACCCUUGCAUAACGACUUAAGGUGGUUAUUGCGGCGGGGCUCACCUCUUCCCAUUCCGAACAGAGAAGUUAAGCCCGCCUGCGCAGAUGGUACUGCAAUUUGUGGGAGAGUAUGUCGUCGCCUUUC
Molecule: ribosomal RNA, 205 nt
Filed under: Flavobacterium cauense R2A-7
Lineage: Bacteria; Pseudomonadati; Bacteroidota; Flavobacteriia; Flavobacteriales; Flavobacteriaceae
Source: RNAcentral